RNAcentral lists this ribosomal RNA (254 nucleotides) under uncultured bacterium. RNAcentral describes it as "partial 16S ribosomal RNA". It matches the Rfam family "Bacterial small subunit ribosomal RNA", at positions 524 to 776 of the family's 1533-position model. The record is from RNAcentral.
UACGUAGGGUGCGAGCGUUGUCCGGAAUUAUUGGGCGUAAAGAGCUCGUAGGCGGUGUGUUACGUCGGCCGUGAAAACCUGCAGCUUAACUGUGGGCGUGCGGUCGAUACGGGCAUCACUGGAGUUCGGCAGGGGAGACUGGAAUUCCCGGUGUAGCGGUGAAAUGCGCAGAUAUCGGGAGGAACACCUAUGGCGAAGGCAGCUCGCUGGGACGUUACUGACGCUGAGACGCGAAAGCGUGGGGAGCAAACAGG